Molecule: ribosomal RNA, 253 nt
Filed under: uncultured bacterium
Lineage: Bacteria
Description: partial 16S ribosomal RNA
Rfam family: Bacterial small subunit ribosomal RNA
Source: RNAcentral
UACGUAGGGUGCGAGCGUUAAUCGGAAUUACUGGGCGUAAAGGGUGCGCAGGCGGUUAUAUAAGACAGAUGUGAAAUCCCCGGGCUUAACCUGGGAACUGCAUUUGUGACUGCAUCGCUGGAGUGCGGCAGAGGGGGAUGGAAUUCCGCGUGUAGCAGUGAAAUGCGUAGAUAUGCGGAGGAACACCGAUGGCGAAGGCAAUCCCCUGGGCCUGCACUGACGCUCAUGCACGAAAGCGUGGGGAGCAAACAGG